GCCCCCUGGACAAGAAUCUAGGGUGAAGCCUGCUCAGUGAUUAAACAAAAAUUAAAUAGCCGCGGUACCUUGACCGUGCUAAGGUAGCAUAAUCAAUUGACUUUUAAUUGAAGUCUGGAAUGAAAGGAUCAACGGGAUGAAGCUGUCUCAACUCUAAUAUUAUAAAUUUACUAAUUAGGUGCAAAGGCCUAAAUAAGAUAAAAGACGAGAAGACCCUUAGAGUUUCACUUAUUUAGUUUUGUUGGGGCGACAAAGAAUCAAUUAAACAUUCUUAUAUAGUAUAUGGCGAUUUAUUAUAAGUAUAGAUUAACUACCUGAGGGAUAACAGCAUUAUCUUUUUAGGAUUAUGACCUCGAUGUUGGACUAGGAAGCCUACUAGCUAGCCGCUAUUAAGGGGAAUUCUGUUCGAAUUUUCACUCCU
Molecule: ribosomal RNA, 421 nt
Filed under: Aglaona rudmani
Lineage: Eukaryota; Metazoa; Mollusca; Gastropoda; Cephalaspidea; Aglajidae
Description: partial large subunit ribosomal RNA
Rfam family: Archaeal large subunit ribosomal RNA
Source: RNAcentral